AUAACAUCCGGAAACGGGUGCUAAUACCGCAUAGUUUUCUUGAUCGCAUGAUUGAGAAAGGAAAGACGGCCUUUGUGCCUGUCGCGUUAUGGAUGGACCCGCGGCGUAUUAGUUAGUUGGUGAGGUAACGGCUCACCAAGACGAUGAUACGUAGCCGACCUGAGAGGGUGAUCGGCCACAUUGGGACUGAGACACGGCCCAAACUCCUACGGGAGGCAGCAGUAGGGAAUCUUCCGCAAUGGACGAAAGUCUGACGGAGCAACGCCGCGUGAGUGAAGAAAAGGGUUUUCGGAUCGUAAAACUCUGUUGUCAGAGAAGAACAAGUUGGAGAGUAACUGCUCCAGCCUUGACGGUAUCUGACCAGAAAGCCACGGCUAACUACGUGCCAGCAGCGGC
Molecule: ribosomal RNA, 396 nt
Filed under: uncultured bacterium
Lineage: Bacteria
Description: bacterial SSU rRNA
Rfam family: Bacterial small subunit ribosomal RNA
Source: RNAcentral